Molecule: ribosomal RNA, 492 nt
Filed under: uncultured bacterium
Lineage: Bacteria
Description: partial 16S ribosomal RNA
Rfam family: Bacterial small subunit ribosomal RNA
Source: RNAcentral
AGUGAACGCUGGCGGUAGGCCUAACACAUGCAAGUCGAACGGCAGCACAGUAAGAGCUUGCUCUUACGGGUGGCGAGUGGCGGACGGGUGAGGAAUACAUCGGAAUCUACUUUUUCGUGGGGGAUAACGUAGGGAAACUUACGCUAAUACCGCAUACGACCUACGGGUGAAAGCAGGGGAUCUUCGGACCUUGCGCGAUUGAAUGAGCCGAUGUCGGAUUAGCUAGUUGGCGGGGUAAAGGCCCACCAAGGCGACGGUCCGUAGCUGGUCUGAGAGAGUGAUCAGCCACACUGGAACUGGGACACAGUCCAGACUCCUACGGGAGGCAGCAGUGGGGAAUAUUGGACAAUGGAGGCAAACCUGAUCCAGCCAUGCCGCGUGAGUGAAGAAGGCCUUCGGGUUGUAAAGCCCUUUUGUUGGGAAAGAAAAGCAGCAGGUUAAUACCCCGCUGUUCUGACGGUACCCAAAGAAUAAGCACCGGCUAACUUCGUG